Molecule: ribosomal RNA, 750 nt
Filed under: bacterium
Lineage: Bacteria
Description: bacterial SSU rRNA
Rfam family: Bacterial small subunit ribosomal RNA
Source: RNAcentral
GGCAAUGCCGCAGCCUUACCAUGCAGUUCGAGCGGAUGAGAGGAGCUUGCUCCUCCGAUUCAGCGGCGGACGGGUGAGUAAUGCCUAGGAAUCUGCCUGGUAGUGGGGGACAACGUUUCGAAAGGAACGCUAAUACCGCAUACGUCCUACGGGAGAAAGCAGGGGACCUUCGGGCCUUGCGCUAUCAGAUGAGCCUAGGUCGGAUUAGCUAGUUGGUGAGGUAAUGGCUCACCAAGGCGACGAUCCGUAACUGGUCUGAGAGGAUGAUCAGUCACACUGGAACUGAGACACGGUCCAGACUCCUACGGGAGGCAGCAGUGGGGAAUAUUGGACAAUGGGCGAAAGCCUGAUCCAGCCAUGCCGCGUGUGUGAAGAAGGUCUUCGGAUUGUAAAGCACUUUAAGUUGGGAGGAAGGGUUGUUUCCUAAUACGAAGCAAUUUUGACGUUACCGACAGAAUAAGCACCGGCUAACUCUGUGCCAGCAGCCGCGGUAAUACAGAGGGUGCAAGCGUUAAUCGGAAUUACUGGGCGUAAAGCGCGCGUAGGUGGUUUGUUAAGUUGAAUGUGAAAUCCCCGGGCUCAACCUGGGAACUGCAUCCAAAACUGGCAAGCUAGAGUAGGGUAGAGGGUGGGUGGAAUUUCCUGUGUAGCGGUGAAAUGCGUAGAUAUAGGAAGGAACACCAGUGGCGAAGGCGACCACCUGGACUCAUACUGACACUGAGGUGCGAAAGCGUGGGGAGCAAACAGAUA